UAAACCCCGCCUGUUUACCAAAAACAUCACCUCUAGCAUUACCAGUAUUAGAGGCACUGCCUGCCCAGUGACAUUAGUUUAACGGCCGCGGUAUCCUGACCGUGCAAAGGUAGCAUAAUCAUUUGUUCCUUAAUUAGGGACUUGUAUGAAUGGCUUCACGAGGGUUUAACUGUCUCUUACUUUUAAUCAGUGAAAUUGACCUUCCCGUGAAGAGGCGGGAAUAAAAAAAUAAGACGAGAAGACCCUAUGGAGCUUAAAUUAAAUUAUCUAAUAAAUUAAAACUUAAUCCAAUAGGCAUAACAACAUAUUUAACUAGAUAACAAAUUUUGGUUGGGGUGACCUCGGAGUAUAACCUAACCUCCGAGCUAUAUAAACUAAGACUUACCUGUCAAAGUGAAAUAAUUUAUUGAUCCAAUCUUAUUGAUCAACGGAAUAAGUUACCCUAGGGAUAACAGCGCAAUCCUAUUUAAGAGUUCAUAUCGACAAUAGGGUUUACGACCUCGAUGUUGGAUCAGGACACCCAAAUGGUGCAGCAGCUAUUAAAGGUUCGUUUGUUCAACGAUUAAAGUCC
Molecule: ribosomal RNA, 571 nt
Rfam family: Bacterial large subunit ribosomal RNA